CGGAGGUACUCGAGUGGCGAACGGGUGAGUAACACGUGGGUGAUCUGCCCUGCACUUCGGGAUAAGCUUGGGAAACUGGGUCUAAUACCGGAUAGGAGCCAUCUUUAGUGUGGUGGUUGGAAAGUUUUUCGGUGUAGGAUGAGCUCGCGGCCUAUCAGCUUGUUGGUGGGGUAAUGGCCUACCAAGGCGGCGACGGGUAGCCGGCCUGAGAGGGUGUACGGCCACAUUGGGACUGAGACACGGCCCAG
Molecule: ribosomal RNA, 248 nt
Filed under: uncultured Actinomycetales bacterium
Lineage: Bacteria; Bacillati; Actinomycetota; Actinomycetes; Actinomycetales
Description: partial 16S ribosomal RNA
Rfam family: Bacterial small subunit ribosomal RNA
Source: RNAcentral